RNAcentral lists this unclassified non-coding RNA (315 nucleotides) under uncultured Postia. RNAcentral's name for it is "sequence contains ITS2". The stretch from base 1 to 52 matches the Rfam family "5.8S ribosomal RNA", at positions 103 to 154 of the family's 154-position model. The record is from RNAcentral. Lineage: Eukaryota; Fungi; Basidiomycota; Agaricomycetes; Polyporales; Polyporaceae.
AACGCACCUUGCGCUCCUUGGUACUCCGAGGAGCAUGCCUGUUUGAGUGUCAUGGAAUUCUCAACUCUUCUGUCUUUGUUGAUGGUUGAGCUUGGAUGUGGAGGUUAUUAAUGCUGGCUCAGUAAAAUGGGUUGGCUCCUCUUGAAUGCAUUAGCUUGAACCUCUGUGGAUCAGCUGUCCGGUGUGAUAGAUUGUCUACGCCGUCGCUGUGAAGCUUUAAAAUGUGGGGGUUUAGCUUUUAAAAAUGUCUUGUUGACAUGAGACUAUCUUUUGACCUCUGACCUCAAAUCAGGCAGGAUUACCCGCUGAACUUAA